UAAAUAUUUAAGAAAGAAUGACCUAUACUUAUAUACAAUAUUUAAAAUAUGACGUUAAAACGUUAUUGAAGAUCAAAUCAAGAGACAAAUUUCCGGGGUUCAUUUGGGAACUUAUUUGAAAGGUGAAAUUAAUAAUUGACCAUUAAUAAUGUAAGAUUCUCAAUAGCAUAUUUAUAUGAUAUGUAGAUUAUACUCCAAAUCAAUAUACAGUUUUCAAACGUAAAUGCAUUUUAAUAUAGGAUGUCAUUAAAAAGGAGGGUCUUUCUUAUAUAAAAUCUCGCAAAAUUAUGACCCAUAUUUUUGGCACAUCCCCGUAUACCCAAUAAUUGAAAGCUACCCCCCCC
Molecule: long non-coding RNA, 344 nt
Filed under: Mytilus galloprovincialis (Mediterranean mussel)
Lineage: Eukaryota; Metazoa; Mollusca; Bivalvia; Mytilida; Mytilidae
Source: RNAcentral